This 573-nucleotide ribosomal RNA is filed under the name Pantoea agglomerans. RNAcentral describes it as "bacterial SSU rRNA". It matches the Rfam family "Bacterial small subunit ribosomal RNA", at positions 551 to 1124 of the family's 1533-position model. Lineage: Bacteria; Pseudomonadati; Pseudomonadota; Gammaproteobacteria; Enterobacterales; Erwiniaceae. The record is from RNAcentral.
UUACUGGGCGUAAGCGCACGCAGGCGGUCUGUCAAGUCGGAUGUGAAAUCCCCGGGCUCUACCUGGGAACUGCAUUCGAAACUGGCAGGCUAGAGUCUUGUAGAGGGGGGUAGAAUUCCAGGUGUAGCGGUGAAAUGCGUAGAGAUCUGGAGGAAUACCGGUGGCGAAGGCGGCCCCCUGGACAAAGACUGACGCUCAGGUGCGAAAGCGUGGGGAGCAAACAGGAUUAGAUACCCUGGUAGUCCACGCCGUAAACGAUGUCGACUUGGAGGUUGUGCCCUUGAGGCGUGGCUUCCGGAGCUAACGCGUUAAGUCGACCGCCUGGGGAGUACGGCCGCAAGGUUAAAACUCAAAUGAAUUGACGGGGGCCCGCACAAGCGGUGGAGCAUGUGGUUUAAUUCGAUGCAACGCGAAGAACCUUACCUACUCUUGACAUCCAGAGAACUUGGCAGAGAUGCUUUGGUGCCUUCGGGAACUCUGAGACAGGUGCUGCAUGGCUGUCGUCAGCUCGUGUUGUGAAAUGUUGGGUUAAGUCCCGCAACGAGCGCAACCCUUAUCCUUUGUUGCCAGCGG